AGUGACAGUUCAACUUUCAUGCGGGGAGGAUGUGCGCCGAUGAUGGAAUCUGCCAGGAGACUCUACUAUGGUGUAGUUGCUCUGUGUGCAGCAAAAAAGAAACUUUUGAGGAGGAAGAAACGUAGAGCCUUGUGGUGUAAGCAAUGGCUUUCUCGGCGACAUCUGAAGGGAAGCUUCAAUCAAAUAUUUAUGGAGCUACAGGUCGAAAAUCCAACAGACUUCGAAAAUUACACAAGAAUGCCAAUCCCUGCAUUCUAUAAAUUGCUGACAAAAAUUUAACCCUACAUUUGUAAGCAGGACACCAGCUUUCGGGACAGCAUAUCACCAGGAGCUCGUCUGGAGGCUACACUACGCUUUCUUGCAGCUGGAGGAUCGUACACAAGCCUCCAGUAUUCAACCAGGAUUUCAAAACAGAGCCUCGGUCUAAUCAUCCCCGAAACCUGUGAAGCCAUCUAUAAUGUCCUUAGGGAGGAUUAUUUGAAGAUGCCAUCAACUCCUGCUGAAUGGAAGGCAGUGGCGAAACAGUUUGAGAAGUGGAAUUUUCCUCACUGUCUUGGAGCGGUGGAUGGAAAACACAUCGCUAUAUGGCCUCCAAAAGAGAGUGGAUCCUACUACUUUAAUUAUAAGGGUUCACACAGUAUAGUUCUCAUGGCUGUAGUGAACGCUAACUAUGAAUUUAUGUAUGUACUCGUAGAUGUGGGGGCAAAUGGAAGAAUUUCAGAUGGAGGUGUGUGGGCAAACUCAACUCUGUGCACGCGGCUGCAGAGCGGAGCAAUGGGAGUUCCCCCAGAUGAACAGCUGAGUGACAGCUAAAGAACCCUGCCAUACGUCUUUGUAGGUGACGAUGCCCUCCCACUCAAGAGAUACUUCAUGAAACCUUAUCCCUUUAAACAUCAAAAUAAUGAACAAAGAAUUUUCUCCUACAGGCUAUCAAGAGCAAGGCGUGUUGUUGAGAAUGCAUUUGGCAUUAUGUCAAAUAAGUUUCGCAUUCUCCUGAGUGCAAUAAAUUUGAGCCCUCAGAAGGUAGAGAAAAUUGUUUUUGCCUGCACAGCCCUGCACAAUUUCUUGCGCAGGGAACAUGAAUCAUUCUAUACACCUGUUGGUAGUUUGGACAACGAGAAUGUUGUGGAUGGAGUGGUAACACCCGGGGCAUGGCGUGAUGAUAGGCAGCUUCUGCCUUUGGAGAGACUACUGAGGCAUCCCAAAAAUGAGGCAAAAGCCGUCAGGAACGAGUUCAUGGAGUAUUUUAAUGAGGAAGGAGCUGUUCCAUGGCAACAACGUAUGUGCGGCAUAUGCUAGAGAGAGAGAGAGAGAGAGAGAGAGAGAGAGAGAGAGAGAGAGAGAGAGAGAGAGAGAGAGAGAGAGAGUGAGUGAGAGAGAGAGAGAGAGAGAGAGAGAGAGAGAGAGAGAGAGAGAGAGAGAGAGAGAGAGAGAGAGAGAGAGAGAGAGAGAGAAAAUAUUUUUU
Molecule: long non-coding RNA, 1465 nt
Organism: Scylla paramamosain (green mud crab)
Lineage: Eukaryota; Metazoa; Arthropoda; Malacostraca; Decapoda; Portunidae
Exons: 2
Source: RefSeq, a predicted model, not a curated record